Long non-coding RNA from Carassius carassius (crucian carp), 797 nucleotides. RefSeq lists it as uncharacterized. The transcript is spliced from 2 exons. NCBI's taxonomy places the organism in Eukaryota, Metazoa, Chordata, Actinopteri, Cypriniformes, Cyprinidae. The record is from RefSeq and is a predicted model, not a curated record.
AUAAUAACUAGGGAUGGGCAUUCGAUUAAAUUUUCUUAGUCGAUCGUCGGGAGAAUUAACGAUCAACUAUCGAUUAAUCAUUAAUAUUUUUAAAAUAUAAUUAAUUAUUUAAUUUUUAUAAUUAAAAAAUGCAAUGAAUACAAAAAUACAGCGCGUUUUUCUUCGGUGAGACCUUUAUUACAAGAUCAACUUGUGGCAGAAAGUUAAACUACGUUCAGGCAAACCGAACAUAUAUGCGCGUGCAUAUGCGGUGCUCUAAAGCAGCGGAACCUGCAGCUGCGAGCUGGCGUUCACAAACAGAGACCUCAUUUGUCCCAAAAUAAUAAUAAUAAUAAAAGAAUCAUGUUAAACAAUAACAUAAAAAACAUAAUAAUACUUAGAUCUGACAGGUUUUGUCAAAAUGGAACUCAAAACUAUCCAAGCCAGAAGAAAAGGCCAGAUAUUAGCCUUCCUAACAAUUACGCUAACUUAACAAAUUAUGCUACUUAAAGCCUAGUGAAAAAUAACUAACUUUAGUAACUAGCAUACAACUUCUGCACGAGUCUACGGAUUUUUGUUGAGAAAUAUAAGCAUGUUGACAUGAUUUGGGGUCAGACGCGACUGCAACCUGGUGUCCAUCAGCCGCCGAAAACACCCGCUCUGAGGGAACUGACGUUGCCAAGAUGCACAGGUACAUCAUUUGAGUCGUGGCCAUGUUGUACUUAUACACGGCAUCGCAAUGUUUGCAGUUAACUAUUUCGCUUUUUAAAUCAAAAUGGUCCCACGCCACACUUCGCCGUGACCUCUUCAUGAUUAUU